UAGGGAAUCUUCCGCAAUGGACGCAAGUCUGACGGAGCAACGCCGCGUGUGUGAAGAAGGAUUUCGGUUCGUAAAACUCUGUUGUUAGAGAAGAACAGCGCAUAGAGUAACUGUUAUGCGUGUGACGGUAUCUAACCAGAAAGCUACGGCUAACUACGUGCCAGCAGCCGCGGUAAUACGUAGGUGGCAAGCGUUGUCCGGAUUUACUGGGCGUAAAGCGAGCGCAGGCGGUCAAUUAAGUCUGAUGUGAAAGCCCCCGGCUCAACCGAGGAGGGUCAUUGGAAACUGGUUGACUUGAGUGCAGAAGAGGAGGGUGGAAUUCCAUGUGUAGCGGUGAAAUGCGUAGAUAUAUGGAGGAACACCAGUGGCGAAGGCGACUCUCUGGUCUAUAACUGACGCUGAGGUUCGAAAGCGUGGGUAGCAAACAGG
RNAcentral lists this ribosomal RNA (429 nucleotides) under Bacteroidota bacterium. Its description in RNAcentral is "Bacteroidetes bacterium partial 16S ribosomal RNA". It matches the Rfam family "Bacterial small subunit ribosomal RNA", at positions 355 to 776 of the family's 1533-position model. The record is from RNAcentral. Lineage: Bacteria; Pseudomonadati; Bacteroidota.